RNAcentral lists this ribosomal RNA (465 nucleotides) under Vreelandella stevensii. Its description in RNAcentral is "partial 16S ribosomal RNA". It matches the Rfam family "Bacterial small subunit ribosomal RNA", at positions 338 to 795 of the family's 1533-position model. Lineage: Bacteria; Pseudomonadati; Pseudomonadota; Gammaproteobacteria; Oceanospirillales; Halomonadaceae. The record is from RNAcentral.
CCUACGGGAGGCUGCAGUGGGGAAUAUUGGACAAUGGGGGGAACCCUGAUCCAGCCAUGCCGCGUGUGUGAAGAAGGCCCUCGGGUUGUAAAGCACUUUCAGUGAGGAAGAACGCCUGGUGGUUAAUACCCAUCAGGAAAGACAUCACUCACAGAAGAAGCACCGGCUAACUCCGUGCCAGCAGCCGCGGUAAUACGGAGGGUGCGAGCGUUAAUCGGAAUUACUGGGCGUAAAGCGCGCGUAGGUGGCUUGAUAAGCCGGUUGUGAAAGCCCCGGGCUCAACCUGGGAACGGCAUCCGGAACUGUCACGCUAGAGUGAAGGAGAGGAAGGUAGAAUUCCCGGUGUAGCGGUGAAAUGCGUAGAGAUCGGGAGGAAUACCAGUGGCGAAGGCGGCCUUCUGGACUGACACUGACACUGAGGUGCGAAAGCGUGGGUAGCAAACAGGAUUAGAUACCCGAGUAGUC